Molecule: ribosomal RNA, 434 nt
Filed under: uncultured Clostridium sp.
Lineage: Bacteria; Bacillati; Bacillota; Clostridia; Eubacteriales; Clostridiaceae
Description: partial 16S ribosomal RNA
Rfam family: Bacterial small subunit ribosomal RNA
Source: RNAcentral
ACGGGAGGCAGCAGUGGGGAAUAUUGGACAAUGGGGGAAACCCUGAUCCAGCGACGCCGCGUGAGUGAAGAAGUAUUUCGGUAUGUAAAGCUCUAUCAGCAGGGAAGAUAAUGACGGUACCUGACUAAGAAGCCCCGGCUAACUACGUGCCAGCAGCCGCGGUACUACGUAGGGGGCAAGCGUUAUCCGGAUUUACUGGGUGUAAAGGGAGCGUAGACGGUUUGGCAAGUCUGAAGUGAAAGCCCGGGGCUCAACCCCGGUAUUGCUUUGGAAACUGUUGAACUAGAGUGCAGGAGGGGUAAGCGGAAUUCCUAGUGUAGCGGUGAAAUGCGUAGAUAUUAGGAGGAACACCGGUGGCGAAGGCGGCUUACUGGACUGUAACUGACGUUGAGGCUCGAAAGCGUGGGGAGCAAACAGGAUUAGAUACCCUGGUA